GUUAAGCGACUAAGCGUACACGGUGGAUGCCCUGGCAGUCAGAGGCGAUGAAGGACGUGCUAAUCUGCGAUAAGCGUCGGUAAGGUGAUAUGAACCGUUAUAACCGGCGAUUUCCGAAUGGGGAAACCCAGUGUGUUUCGACACACUAUCAUUAACUGAAUCCAUAGGUUAAUGAGGCGAACCGGGGGAACUGAAACAUCUAAGUACCCCGAGGAAAAGAAAUCAACCGAGAUUCCCCCAGUAGCGGCGAGCGAACGGGGAGCAGCCCAGAGCCUGAAUCAGUGUGUGUGUUAGUGGAAGCGUCUGGAAAGGCGCGCGAUACAGGGUGACAGCCCCGUACACAAAAAUGCACAUGCUGUGAGCUCGAUGAGUAGGGCGGGACACGUGGUAUCCUGUCUGAAUAUGGGGGGACCAUCCUCCAAGGCUAAAUACUCCUGACUGACCGAUAGUGAACCAGUACCGUGAGGGAAAGGCGAAAAGAACCCCGGCGAGGGGAGUGAAAAAGAACCUGAAACCGUGUACGUACAAGCAGUGGGAGCACGCUUAGGCGUGUGACUGCGUACCUUUUGUAUAAUGGGUCAGCGACUUAUAUUCUGUAGCAAGGUUAACCGAAUAGGGGAGCCGAAGGGAAACCGAGUCUUAACUGGGCGUUAAGUUGCAGGGUAUAGACCCGAAACCCGGUGAUCUAGCCAUGGGCAGGUUGAAGGUUGGGUAACACUAACUGGAGGACCGAACCGACUAAUGUUGAAAAAUUAGCGGAUGACUUGUGGCUGGGGGUGAAAGGCCAAUCAAACCGGGAGAUAGCUGGUUCUCCCCGAAAGCUAUUUAGGUAGCGCCUCGUGAAUUCAUCUCCGGGGGUAGAGCACUGUUUCGGCAAGGGGGUCAUCCCGACUUACCAACCCGAUGCAAACUGCGAAUACCGGAGAAUGUUAUCACGGGAGACACACGGCGGGUGCUAACGUCCGUCGUGAAGAGGGAAACAACCCAGACCGCCAGCUAAGGUCCCAAAGUCAUGGUUAAGUGGGAAAC
This 1029-nucleotide ribosomal RNA is filed under the name Escherichia coli. RNAcentral describes it as "partial 23S ribosomal RNA". It matches the Rfam family "Bacterial large subunit ribosomal RNA", at positions 1 to 1071 of the family's 2925-position model. Lineage: Bacteria; Pseudomonadati; Pseudomonadota; Gammaproteobacteria; Enterobacterales; Enterobacteriaceae. The record is from RNAcentral.